AACGAACGCUGGCGGCAUGCCUAACACAUGCAAGUCGAACGAGGCCUUCGGGUCUAGUGGCGCACGGGUGCGUAACGCGUGGGAACCUGCCCUUAGGUUCGGAAUAACUCCCCGAAAGGGGUGCUAAUACCGGAUAAUGUCUUCGGACCAAAGAUUUAUCGCCUUUGGAUGGGCCCGCGUUGGAUUAGCUAGUUGGUAGGGUAAAAGCCUACCAAGGCGACGAUCCAUAGCUGGUCUGAGAGGAUGAUCAGCCACACUGGGACUGAGACACGGCCCAGACUCCUACGGGAGGCAGCAGUGGGGAAUAUUGGACAGUGGGCGAAAGCCUGAUCCAGCAAUGCCGCGUGAGUGAUGAAGGCCUUAGGGUUGUAAAGCUCUUUUACCCGGGAUGAUAAUGACAGUACCGGGAGAAUAAGCUCCGGCUAACUCCGUG
Molecule: ribosomal RNA, 433 nt
Filed under: uncultured bacterium
Lineage: Bacteria
Description: partial 16S ribosomal RNA
Rfam family: Bacterial small subunit ribosomal RNA
Source: RNAcentral